UACGGGGGGGGCAAGCGUUGUUCGGAAUUACUGGGCGUAAAGGGCUCGUAGGUGGCCAACUAAGUCGGACGUGAAAUCCCUCGGCUUAACCGGGGAACUGCGUCCGAUACUGGUUGGCUUGAGUUUGGGAGAGGGAUGCGGAAUUCCAGGUGUAGCGGUGAAAUGCGUAGAUAUCGGGAGGAACACCUAUGGCGAAGGCAGCUCGCUGGGACGUUACUGACGCUGAGACGCGAAAGCGUGGGGAGCAAACAGG
This 253-nucleotide ribosomal RNA is filed under the name uncultured bacterium. Its description in RNAcentral is "partial 16S ribosomal RNA". It matches the Rfam family "Bacterial small subunit ribosomal RNA", at positions 524 to 776 of the family's 1533-position model. The record is from RNAcentral.